AUGUUAUCAAGAAAGGCUGAGGGAAUAGACCCGUUGAAGCCUUAGCAACCCUCCCCCACGGAGAAGGUGCUACAUUCUACCCCUAAGGGGAAAGAUAACCC
This 101-nucleotide non-coding RNA is filed under the name Sinomicrobium oceani. RNAcentral describes it as "SAM-I sequence". It matches the Rfam family "SAM riboswitch aptamer (S box leader)". From Rfam's summary of the family: The SAM riboswitch is found upstream of a number of genes which code for proteins involved in methionine or cysteine biosynthesis in Gram-positive bacteria. The SAM riboswitch acts at the level of transcription termination control. The record is from Rfam by way of RNAcentral. Lineage: Bacteria; Pseudomonadati; Bacteroidota; Flavobacteriia; Flavobacteriales; Flavobacteriaceae.